Molecule: long non-coding RNA, 418 nt
Organism: Oncorhynchus kisutch (coho salmon)
Lineage: Eukaryota; Metazoa; Chordata; Actinopteri; Salmoniformes; Salmonidae
Exons: 3
Source: RefSeq, a predicted model, not a curated record
AAAUCGCCUCCGAUGCUAUGCGCGUAAAGUGUUUUCCUGUGACAGUAGAGCGAGAGAAGCAGAAAUGUGACAGCCCAGUCGUGUGGCAGGAUUCAAGCAUAAAGACAGGCACCCAGGCCGGGCAGAAACAGUGGGAGACGCCGCUGUAGACCACCAGAACGGAGAGUGGAUUUGGCAUCACCACAACAAACAUCCAUUGAUGGAAAAUAAAGAGGAACCAGCAAAGAACGAAAACAGAAGUCAACCAGUGACAGUUUCGCCCAACAACUGUCUUAAACGAACCUGUCGCCUUAGAUCAACUUACGAAGCGCGAAGAUUGAAGACAGAAGAGAGAGUCUGGUCACAUUGUCUUCUCCUUCUCCCAAGUCCUUUCCUUCAGUCCUCCUUCUCCCAAGUCCUUUCCUUCAGUCCUCCUCCU